AACGCUAGCUACAGGCUUAACACAUGCAAGUCGAGGGGCAGCAUGAACUUAACUUGCUAAGUUUGAUGGCGACCGGCGCACGGGUGAGUAACACGUAUCCAACCUUCCGUUUACUCAGGGAUAGCCUUUCGAAAGAAAGAUUAAUACCUGAUAGUAUGGUGAGAUUGCAUGAUAGCACCAUUAAAGAUUUAUUGGUAAACGAUGGGGAUGCGUUCCAUUAGGUAGUAGGCGGGGUAACGGCCCACCUAGCCGACGAUGGAUAGGGGUUCUGAGAGGAAGGUCCCCCACAUUGGAACUGAGACACGGUCCAAACUCCCACGGGAGGCAGCAGUGAGGAAUAUUGGUCAAUGGGCGAGAGCCUGAACCAGCCAAGUAGCGUGAAGGAUGAAGGUCCUACGGAUUGUAAACUUCUUUUAUACGGGAAUAAAGUUUCCUACGUGUAGGAUUUUGUAUGUACCGUAUGAAUAAGCAUCGGCUAACUCCGUGCCAGCAGCCGCGGUAAUACGGAGGAUGCGAGCGUUAUCCGGAUUUAUUGGGUUUAAAGGGAGCGCAGACGGGAGAUUAAGUCAGUUGUGAAAGUUUGCGGCUCAACCGUAAAAUUGCAGUUGAUACUGGUUUCCUUGAGUGCAGUUGAGGCAGGCGGAAUUCGUGGUGUAGCGGUGAAAUGCUUAGAUAUCACGAAGAACUCCGAUUG
Molecule: ribosomal RNA, 694 nt
Filed under: uncultured bacterium
Lineage: Bacteria
Description: bacterial SSU rRNA
Rfam family: Bacterial small subunit ribosomal RNA
Source: RNAcentral